Molecule: ribosomal RNA, 429 nt
Filed under: Bacteroidota bacterium
Lineage: Bacteria; Pseudomonadati; Bacteroidota
Description: Bacteroidetes bacterium partial 16S ribosomal RNA
Rfam family: Bacterial small subunit ribosomal RNA
Source: RNAcentral
UAGGGAAUCUUCGGCAAUGGGGGGAACCCUGACCGAGCAACGCCGCGUGAGUGAAGAAGGUUUUCGGAUCGUAAAGCUCUGUUGUUAAGGAAGAACGAGUGUGAGAAUGGAAAGUUCAUGCUGUGACGGUACUUAACCAGAAAGGGACGGCUAACUACGUGCCAGCAGCCGCGGUAAUACGUAGGUCCCGAGCGUUGUCCGGAUUUAUUGGGCGUAAAGCGAGCGCAGGCGGUUAGAAAAGUCUGAAGUGAAAGGCAGUGGCUCAACCAUUGUAGGCUUUGGAAACUGUUUAACUUGAGUGCAGAAGGGGAGAGUGGAAUUCCAUGUGUAGCGGUGAAAUGCGUAGAUAUAUGGAGGAACACCGGUGGCGAAAGCGGCUCUCUGGUCUGUAACUGACGCUGAGGCUAGAAAGCGUGGGGAGCGAACAGG